AAUUAAGCGACAAAAAUCAAGCCACAAAAUAUCCAUCACAAUCGUAUUGAUUGUGCGAACAGAUCUCUGUAUGUCAAGUUGUAUUGCGUGUUUUUUUCUUUUUUUUUUUCUUUCUUGUUUUAAUUGCAUUGCCUAUUUAAUCCAUUAGAUAUUCGGUAACUGUAAAAAAGACUUACAAAUAAAUGAUACGAGGUUCAAUCGAUUCUAGAGUUAUGAUAUCUAUCUACAAAUAAUAAUACCAUUGUAAAAACGGAGAGACCAAAGCGAUACACAGUGUAAUUAAAUAUAAUAUAAACUGCCUCAAAAUGGCUACCUAUUUACUGCUAUCAUAAGUGGCUAUUAUGAUAAUAGUCAUUAAGUAUCGUUCACACUUCUUUGAUUGUGGUUUAGUUACAUACUUUAAGACGUUAUGAUACAUGUGAGUAUGACACGGAGUUCCACUAAAAAUAUCUGUUAGAUACGCUGAGCAUUACUGACUUAAGCACUGUACUAAAUUCACAUAAAAUUGUAUUGUAUUAUUAUUAUUAGAAAACUAAUUAUUUUUCAUUGGUUUGAAAUACUGGUUUAAUAUAUCCGUAUAAAACCUUUGUCAACUGGAACUCUUAGAAUAAUGAUUUACACGAUACCGAUUCCUUGUUGGAAAGAAUGCUAUAUACGAGUAAGUCAUUACAAUUCAACUCUUAUUGGACAUUACAACAGGCAACAAUUGCAAGUCAUGUUUUUAGUUCGCAUUUAACAUCACAAUAUCCAAUAUAAUUAUUUUUCUUUCCUUUCUCUUUCCUUUCUUUUUCCGAUAUAUCGCUAUAUUGUGAAAUGUACAGAGAUAAUCGAGUUAAAUACGUAAUGAUCGCAUAAAGAAAUGAUAAAUGAGAAUAAAUAUAAUUAUGCAAGAUCUGUGACAUAUGUUUCGAUUAAUGUUCAACUUUAGCUUCUUAAGAAUGUGUUCAUCAGUCGGAUGGCAGCAGUCUUACUGCAAUUAAUAGAAGCUCUAACAAGCCUUCUAAGUUAGAUUAGUUUUUCCCUUUACAUGUAUUUUGUAUAUUGUCUAAUAUAAAUAAAUUAAUGAUCCAGUAUGAGGCCAGAGAAAGGCAGUUACAUACUCUAAGUGAUAGAUAAACUUUACUUUAUCUUCUAUGUGUUAUUGUUCAUAUCCACUUUUGUUUUGUAUCUGGCACUCUUUCCUAUUUUAGGCUGCUUCUCAGUUUAACUGUAAUUUAUUUUGCUGGAUUAUUGCGUUGCAUGGAAAAAUAUGGCUUUAUCCAAAAUGCUAUUUAACAAAGGCAAUACAUCGUACAAUUACAUUGUAUGCGCGCCACAGUUGUUGUCACACAAUUAAACUUCUUUGAAAAGGCAGAACCAGUGUCCGUAAAAACGAGAGGCUCCCCGAUUUUUACAGACAUCAGGCAGUCUUCCUAAGGACAUUGAAUCCAACAUAAAUAUGAUGUAAGACACGAUCGCUUGCAAGUUUCUUAACUUAAUGCUGUGUCCGAACUUUUACAUAUGGUAUCUUUUUUUAUAUACAUGGAGCGGAGCUGUUCGAGACACAAAAUUACACCUCCAAAACACACACUAGAUCGGUAAUGGCAUAAAUGCAAAAAUACGUUAUAUGCUGUAAACAUAGUAGUCUUGUAAAUCAGCACACAAACGUGCUGCUACGAAUGAAUAAGGCAAUGUGAACUGAAAGAGAAAAAUAAAAUAUAAA
Molecule: long non-coding RNA, 1702 nt
Organism: Trachymyrmex septentrionalis
Lineage: Eukaryota; Metazoa; Arthropoda; Insecta; Hymenoptera; Formicidae
Exons: 2
Source: RefSeq, a predicted model, not a curated record